RNAcentral lists this long non-coding RNA (948 nucleotides) under Equus caballus (horse). RNAcentral describes it as "lncRNA (ENSECAG00000051657.1)". Lineage: Eukaryota; Metazoa; Chordata; Mammalia; Perissodactyla; Equidae. The record is from RNAcentral.
AGUCUCCAGGCCCCUCCCUUUGUGGUGCCGUCAGCGAUGAAGGCUGGUGGGAAAGCACCCUGUGGAAGUCGGCGACCUGGAAGCAAGGCCUGGCCCCGUCUGACUCACGGAGUGACUACGGGCAACCAAGGACCGUCAGUGUCCAGGCCCUUCUACCCACAGCCUUCAGAAGGAUGGCCAACCGCAGAGACGUUUACACCUCCCUUCCCACACGAGCCCUGAGGUCCCUGACAUCAUCUCCCCAGGGCAGAGGAGCUGGGCAGGUGCCCAGGGACGUCCCUGGCAUGUCCCUCGUUCCUCCAUCGCCCCAGCUGAAGUGCAUUAGAACACCGCCGCUCCUCCCCAGCCCUCUGAAAGGACUUCAGCUCCACCGACAUACAAAGGUUCAGCAGCGUGGCCCUGUCAAGGUCAAGGCUGGACGUACUUACAGCGUUGCACGUUGUGAGCUGUCAGAGUGGCUUGGGGAUGUGACAAAGAGCAGACAAAAUCCAUGGAGAAAUCUGGAUCCCGGAGAAAAGCCAACCAGCCCUGAAGGUCAACACCACCUCUGGAAUCCGCUUGUCCACUUCUCCGGGACGACCUCACCAGCCUUCCUAGGGGUCCCAGGGUUUGGUCUCUUCCUUCCCAAAACCCAAACCCGGCCCUCUAACUCCGGUGCCCAAAGCCCCUCAAAGACGCCCCUGUGCCAGGAUAAGUCCGUGCUGUGGGGUGCGCCAUCCAGCUCAGUUAGGCCUCUUUUGGUGCUGGCCACAGGCCCAGCUCCACCGGCCUCCGGCUCACUGCUGACCUAACCAGGGAGGAGGAAGGCGGGAGAAAGAGAGAAAGAGAUCGCUGAAGAAUUUGAUUCCCAGGUCCAACCAAGAAGCCAGAAACCCCUGGACUUUUCACUUAACGUCAGCCAAGAAACAUCACAACCCCAUUUUUUUCUUUAAAUAAACUUGGUCCACU